RNAcentral lists this ribosomal RNA (443 nucleotides) under uncultured bacterium. RNAcentral's name for it is "partial 16S ribosomal RNA". It matches the Rfam family "Bacterial small subunit ribosomal RNA", at positions 338 to 795 of the family's 1533-position model. The record is from RNAcentral.
CCUACGGGAGGCUGCAGUGGGGAAUAUUGGGCAAUGGGCGCAAGCCUGACCCAGCAACGCCGCGUGAAGGAAGAAGGCUUUCGGGUUGUAAACUUCUUUUCUCAGGGACGAAGAAAGUGACGGUACCUGAGGAAUAAGCCACGGCUAACUACGUGCCAGCAGCCGCGGUAAUACGUAGGUUGCAAGAGUUAUCCGGAUUUACUGGGUGUAAAGGGCGUGUAGGCGGGAAAGCAAGUCAGAUGUGAAAACCAUGGGCUCAACCUGUGGCCUGCAUUUGACACUGUUUUUCUUGAGUGCUGGAGAGGCAGACGGAAUUCCUAGUGUAGCGGUGAAAUGCGUAGAUAUUAGGAGGAACACCAGUGGCGAAGGCGGUCUGCUGGACAGCAACUGACGCUGAGGCGCGAAAGCGUGGGGAGCAAACAGGAUUAGAUACCCGAGUAGUC